This 253-nucleotide ribosomal RNA is filed under the name uncultured bacterium. RNAcentral describes it as "partial 16S ribosomal RNA". It matches the Rfam family "Bacterial small subunit ribosomal RNA", at positions 524 to 776 of the family's 1533-position model. The record is from RNAcentral.
UACGUAGGGGGCGAGCGUUGUCCGGAAUUAUUGGGCGUAAAGCGCGUGUAGGCGGCUUGGUAAGUCUGGUGUGAAACCUCGGGGCUCAACCCCGAGCCUGCAUCGGAUACUGCCUCGCUCGAGUUCGGGAGGGGAGAGCGGAAUUCCUAGUGUAGCGGUGGAAUGCGCAGAUAUUAGGAAGAACACCUGUGGCGAAGGCGGCUCUCUGGAACGAUACUGACGCUGAGACGCGAAAGCGUGGGGAGCGAACAGG